AGAGUUUGAUCCUGGCUCAGGAUGAACGCUGGCGGCGUGCCUAACACAUGCAAGUCGAGCGGCAGCGCGAGUAGUUUACUACUUGGCGGCGAGCGGCGAACGGCUGAGUAACGCGUGGGAAUUUGCCCCAAAGUGAGGAAUAACUGCCCGAAAGGGUGGCUAAUGCCGCAUAUGAUCUUCGGAUUAAAGGAUUUAUCCGCUUUGGGAGAAGCCCGCGUCGGAUUAGGUAGUUGGUGAGGUAAUGGCUCACCAAGCCGACGAUCCGUAGCUGGUCUGAGAGGAUGACCAGCCAGACUGGAACUGAGACACGGUCCAGACUCCUACGGGAGGCAGCAGUGAGGAAUCUUCCACAAUGGGCGAAAGCCUGAUGGAGCAACGCCGCGUGCGGGAUGAAGGCCUUCGGGUUGUAAACUGCUUUUAUGAUUGAGGAAUUUGACAGUAGAUCAUGAAUAAGGAUCGGCUAACUACGUGCCAGCAGCCGCGGUCAUACGUAGGAUCCGAGCGUUAUCCGGAGCGACUGGGCGUAAAGAGUUGCGUAGGCGGUUUGUUAAGUGAAUAGUGAAAUCUGGUGGCUCAACCAUACAGGCUAUUAUUCAAACUGGCAAACUCGAGAGUGGUAGAGGUCACUGGAAUUUCUUGUGUAGGAGUGAAAUCCGUAGAUAUAAGAAGGAACACCGAUGGCGUAGGCAGGUGACUGGACCAUUUCUGACGCUAAGGCACGAAAGCGUGGGGAGCGAACCGGAUUAGAUACCCGGGUAGUCCACGCCGUAAACGAUGGAUACUGGCUGUUGGAGGUAUCGACCCCCUCAGUAGCGAAGCUAACGCGUUAAGUAUCCCGCCUGUGGAGUACGGUCGCAAGACUAAAACAUAAAGGAAUUGACGGGGACCCGCACAAGCGGUGGAUCGUGUUCUUUAAUUCGAUGCUAAACGAAGAACCUUACCAGGGCUUGACAUCCAGGGAAUUUUUGGGAAACCAAUUAGUGCCUUUUGGAACCCUGUGACAGGUGAUGCAUGGCCGUCGUCAGCUCGUGUCGUGAGAUGUUUGGUUAAGUCCAUCAACGAGCGCAACCCUUGCAACUAGUUGGAUUUUUCUAGUUGGACUGCUUCGGUAACGGAGAGGAAGGAGGGGAUGAUGUCAGGUC
RNAcentral lists this ribosomal RNA (1142 nucleotides) under uncultured Candidatus Saccharibacteria bacterium. RNAcentral describes it as "bacterial SSU rRNA". It matches the Rfam family "Bacterial small subunit ribosomal RNA", at positions 8 to 1191 of the family's 1533-position model. Lineage: Bacteria; Candidatus Saccharimonadota. The record is from RNAcentral.